UACAGAGGGGGCAAGCGUUAUUCGGAAUUAUUGGGCGUAAAGGGCGCGUAGGCGGCCUGGCAAGUGGAAGGUGAAAUCCCUCGGCUUAACCGAGGAACUGCCCUCCAAACUGCUUGGCUUGAGUCCGGGAGAGGUGAGUGGAAUUCCCAGUGUAGCGGUGAAAUGCGUAGAUAUCAGGAGGAACACCGGUGGCGAAGGCGGGUCUCUGGGCCGAUAUUGACGCUGAGGAGCGAAAGCGUGGGGAGCGAACAGG
Molecule: ribosomal RNA, 253 nt
Filed under: uncultured bacterium
Lineage: Bacteria
Description: partial 16S ribosomal RNA
Rfam family: Bacterial small subunit ribosomal RNA
Source: RNAcentral